This is a small nucleolar RNA of Chlorocebus sabaeus (green monkey), 127 nucleotides long. NCBI's taxonomy places the organism in Eukaryota, Metazoa, Chordata, Mammalia, Primates, Cercopithecidae. The record is from Ensembl.
AGGUCAUUCAAAGAGAGUUUGCAGGCCUUGAAGCCAGGAACUCUAAAGGCUAUGACAAGAGAUUGAAGUUCUCCAUAGGAUGCCAUAGUCAUUCAAUAGUGCUAUGUUUUCCUGAAGGGAUAGAAGA